Molecule: transfer RNA, 77 nt
Filed under: Pseudidiomarina fusca
Lineage: Bacteria; Pseudomonadati; Pseudomonadota; Gammaproteobacteria; Alteromonadales; Idiomarinaceae
Description: Pseudidiomarina sp. GXY010 tRNA-Asp
Rfam family: tRNA
About the family: Transfer RNA (tRNA) molecules are approximately 80 nucleotides in length. Their secondary structure includes four short double-helical elements and three loops (D, anti-codon, and T loops).
Source: RNAcentral
GGAGCGGUAGUUCAGUUGGUUAGAAUACCGGCCUGUCACGCCGGGGGUCGCGGGUUCGCGUCCCGUCCGCUCCGCCA